Molecule: ribosomal RNA, 253 nt
Filed under: uncultured bacterium
Lineage: Bacteria
Description: partial 16S ribosomal RNA
Rfam family: Bacterial small subunit ribosomal RNA
Source: RNAcentral
UACGAAGGGGGCUAGCGUUGCUCGGAAUUACUGGGCGUAAAGCGCACGUAGGCGGCUUUCUAAGUCGGGGGUGAAAUCCUGGAGCUCAACUCCAGAACUGCCUUCGAUACUGGAGCUUGAGUCCGGGAGAGGUGAGUGGAACUGCGAGUGUAGAGGUGAAAUUCGUAGAAUAUUCGCAAGAACACCAGUGGCGAAGGCGGCUCACUGGCCCGGUACUGACGCUGAGGUGCGAAAGCGUGGGGAGCAAACAGGG